GCAUGGUAGUGGAUUUAUGAUGGGUCCUUCUGCGUGGGCCUCUCAUAGUGUAACCAUGCGAGAGCAAGGUGCAGCCUCGAACCAUUGCCCAGCCUCGCUGCUGUGGGCUGCGAGCACUGAAGGAGGUCGCACAGAU
Molecule: small nucleolar RNA, 136 nt
Organism: Heterocephalus glaber (naked mole-rat)
Lineage: Eukaryota; Metazoa; Chordata; Mammalia; Rodentia; Bathyergidae
Source: Ensembl